GCCGAGUUAGCUCAGUUGGUAGAGCAUUCGACUGAAAAUUGAAGGGUCCACGGUCCGAGUCCGUGACUCGGCACAA
This 76-nucleotide transfer RNA is filed under the name Anaerolineaceae bacterium. RNAcentral describes it as "tRNA-Phe". It matches the Rfam family "tRNA". Rfam says of the family: Transfer RNA (tRNA) molecules are approximately 80 nucleotides in length. Their secondary structure includes four short double-helical elements and three loops (D, anti-codon, and T loops). The record is from RNAcentral. Lineage: Bacteria; Bacillati; Chloroflexota; Anaerolineae; Anaerolineales; Anaerolineaceae.